UACGUAGGGUGCAAGCGUUGUCCGGAAUUAUUGGGCGUAAAGAGCUCGUAGGCGGUCUGUCGCGUCUGCUGUGAAAACUCAGGGCUUAACCCUGAGCUUGCAGUGGGUACGGGCAGACUAGAGUGCGAUAGGGGAGACUGGAAUUCCUGGUGUAGCGGUGAAAUGCGCAGAUAUCAGGAGGAACACCGGUGGCGAAGGCGGGUCUCUGGGCCGUAACUGACGCUGAGGAGCGAAAGCAUGGGGAGCGAACAGG
This 253-nucleotide ribosomal RNA is filed under the name uncultured bacterium. RNAcentral describes it as "partial 16S ribosomal RNA". It matches the Rfam family "Bacterial small subunit ribosomal RNA", at positions 524 to 776 of the family's 1533-position model. The record is from RNAcentral.